UACGGAGGGCGCGAGCGUUAAUCGGAAUUACUGGGCGUAAAGCGCACGCAGGCGGUUUGUUAAGCUAGAUAUGAAAGCCCCGGGCUCAACCUGGGAUGGUCAUUUAGAACUGGCAGACUAGAGUCUUGGAGAGGAGAGUGGAAUUCCAGGUGUAGCGGUGAAAUGCGUAGAUAUCUGGAGGAACAUCAGUGGCGAAGGCGACUCCCUGGCCAAAGACUGACGCUCAUGUGCGAAAGUGUGGGUAGCGAACAGG
Molecule: ribosomal RNA, 253 nt
Filed under: uncultured bacterium
Lineage: Bacteria
Description: partial 16S ribosomal RNA
Rfam family: Bacterial small subunit ribosomal RNA
Source: RNAcentral